This 485-nucleotide ribosomal RNA is filed under the name Ixodes frontalis. Its description in RNAcentral is "partial 16S ribosomal RNA". Lineage: Eukaryota; Metazoa; Arthropoda; Arachnida; Ixodida; Ixodidae. The record is from RNAcentral.
CAUGUAGGAAUUUAAAAGUUGAACAAACUUCUUUUUUUAACUGCUUCAUUAAAAAAGAAUCCUAAUCCAACAUCGAGGUCGCAAACUAUUUUAUCUAUAAGAACUAUCCAAAAUUAUUACGCUGUUAUCCCUAGAGUAUUUUUUUCAUUAAAUCACUAAAUAAUGGAUCCAAAUUAACUUAUUAUUAAAAGAUAGUUAUUCUUUUUCUGUCGCCCCAACAAAAUUAAUAUAAAAUUAAUUACUAAUAUAAAUAUUAAUCUAAAAUUCAUAGGGUCUUCUUGUCCCUAAUUUUUAUUUUUGCUUCCUCACAAAAAAAUUAAAUUUAAUUUUUAAAAUAAAGAAAGUUAUUAAUUGUUAAAUCAUUCUCUUAGCACUCAUUUAAAAUCUUAUUUCAAUACCUUCGUAUAGUCAAAAUACCACAGCAAUUUAAAAAUUUCAUUGAGCAGAUUUUACAUUUUAUUAAUUUCAAAAUGAAAUGUUUUUGU